Canis lupus familiaris (dog) is the source of this 3546-nucleotide long non-coding RNA. RefSeq lists it as uncharacterized. NCBI's taxonomy places the organism in Eukaryota, Metazoa, Chordata, Mammalia, Carnivora, Canidae. The transcript is spliced from 7 exons. The record is from RefSeq and is a predicted model, not a curated record.
UUGUAAUACAUUUUUCUUCUCUAAUAUCUAUGCAUUGAACAUGUCCAAAAUACAAAUAGUUAUUGCUGAUGUUAUUGCCCAGUUCAUAUUGUUUCCAAUGGGGCAUGAAUUCUGUGGGUGAAAAUAACCUGUUCCUCUUUCUGCAUAUCUUGACUAUUACCUAAAAAAAGUCCUGGAGGUAGAUUAUAAUCUUUUCCUUCCAUGGUAUUCUGGAUUAUUUUGCUGCAAUUCCAAGCUUCAUUCUCAGGAUAUAAAUGAAGUUUACUGCAAAUAAGACCAUUAUAAAACCUUUUUAAAAGACAAUCUUAAUGGGAAAGCAAUUCUUUAAGAAAAAAUAAAAAAAGCUAAUCAUAUCCUCCUAUGGAAAAUGGAUAAAAUUGAGAAACACUAAUGGAUUAUAGAGUUUAUCACUUGCAGCUCACAUGGCCCAGUCCUAUCACAGCCAAAAGUAAUCACAUUGCUUUAUAGCCACUCUGCUGUCUCUAUGGUCUCAGUCCAGCUCCUCAUUCAAGCUCCUGGUGUUAUAAAAAUCUAUUGUCCACUGCCACUGGCUCAGAAGGGAACAGUCAUGGAAGCUCAGCCAUUUGCCCUUUCUCUCAGUGAGCACUUGAGGGUAGGGUUUUGGCUCAUUAGUUGUAACAGUCUAUGGCCCUCAGCACACAGUCCCCAAGUAAGCAGAAACUGAAGGAACUUAUUCUCCAGAGGUUCCAAUAUAGCAUCCACCUCUGGAGCCAAAUUCAUUCAAAAUUCCAAAAGAAAAGCAACUCAUCUUCCAUUAUGAGUACAAGUUGGUGAUCUAGGUAAGAGUCAGGACUCCCCACAGGAUGGAAAAUGUGGCCAUCUCCGAAGUCUGUCAGUUGCCUUUAUAAGCUAACUUCUUCAGAUUGGACAAUUCAAACUUCACUGGAGUCCCAGACACAAGCAGUCAAAGGGGCUGAUAGAGAAGAAAGGUGUAUCUGAAAGGUAAUAUUUCCAAAGUGUCAGAGCAUUUAUAGUAAGCAUUCUAGAAGCAGGGAAACCUGUCUGGUCAUGAGAUAUUUGGAGCAAAAUAAGGUUGGUUAUGUUUUUGUAUAAAAUAAGUGUUAUGUAUGACUUGCUAAGAAAAUGAGAGUCCGUGUACAUAUGAUGGAAAGCACAAACUCCACAAACAGACUGCUAGCUUGAAUUCUAAGGCUUUCAUCUCUAGUUGUGAGAUCUUAGGCAAAUUAACUUCUCUGUGACUAGUUUUCACAUCUGUAAACUGGGGCGUGCAUAGUACCUGUGUUAUUUGAGUCACUUAAAUUUAAGUGAAAUACUAUAUGUAAAAUAUUAGAGCCUAUAGGCAGGCCUUCAAACAAUCACUCACUCAACACAUAUUUAUUAGUGCCAAUGAUAGAUGUUGUGCUUGGCAUUUGGGAAAUAACAAUGUACCAAAAAAAAAAAAAAAAAAACCCAAAACAAACUCCAAAUCACAUACAUAUACACACACACCUCAAAAGCUCAUGGAGGUCAUAUUUUUUGUAGUGAGUAUUCCAUAAAUAUUCACAUUUUAUAGCAAAUAUAGUCAAUAAUGGUGCUAUGAAGAAUCUAAUUGAUUUGUUUCAUCGUGGAUGCAACAUGACUUCCAGGAAGCCAAAACUCUGUUUAUCCAAGGCACAUUGCUCAGGGAUAUGACCACCGUGGGCUAAGUUUCCUGAUUUUCUAAUGAACCUCUUCUCUUUCUUGACAUUUUUAAUAUUGCUUACAAUAUGGCCUCACCCACGGCCGAGGAACUGGAGGAUCAAGGCUUCAAGUCUUCAAGGCCUCUCCUGAGGCCUCUCAGCACAGAGCUGUCUCCAGAGGUCACAGAGGCCCUGUUGGCGUGGUGAUCUGCCCUGGUGGCUGCAGUUGCAGGAGGUACAAGUUUUGGCUUCAGUGUGACACUCGAGCUUGUCUGUCUUGAUAGCUAUAGUCCCUCUUGACCUUUAGUGUGCCUUUGCCCCUACUUAGUGUGUGGAAGCAUGAAUAAAGGCAUUGUUGGUGUUUCUGCUUGUCUGACUUGGAGCAUGCUGGCUGAUACGGGCUGAGCCCAUUGUCUGUCUCCGACAAAUCCCAGAGGUUCCAUUAAAGAAGCUGCUGCCAAAAAAAUCCACAAAUUUCAUCAUUCAAGUCUUAUUCCAUUAAAAAUUUCAUAAUAAUGAGUUGCAAAGUGGACCUCCUUGACUUUUCCUGUGAGAUAGCGGAUGAUCAUCAAGAGAAGAAAAAAAGUUAUAUAACCCACACACUGGAUCAGAAACCUUCCAACAACCUAAGAGAGCUUAUUUAAAUCAAGCAAAUAACUACCAUUGAGAAAGUGCGAGUCUUUACCAAUGUGGAUGCAUCUCAAGGACAUACUGUUGAGCAAAGAGAAAAAAAAGAAAGGGAAACCACCCUCUGCUAAGCUGGCUGCUGAGGAUCUCACAAAUGGACUGAGAGAGACCUUCCAGGCAUGUUCUUCAGCAGUUAUACCCAAGGCUUAGGAGUUUGGUGUGGGCCUGUAACCAGCCAGAGAAUCUUUUGGAAGAAGUAACAGAUGACUAUCUAGAAUUGCACAGGAAAACACCAACCGUUUCCUUCGUGCCUUCCCUCGCAUUCCUGAAGACUGUCAGAUAGUAUUCCGCUUCUGUGAGUUCCAUUUGAUUAUUGUACUGCUUUCUUUAAAUCUCACCAGGUAGGAAGGCUCCUUGCAAUAUUAUUCAGCAAUUCAUUCACCAAACAUCUCUGGGUAGCUGCUUGUGUGCUAGGGCCAGAUCUAUGUGAACAAAACAAAAAUCUCUGCCAUUAUGAAAUUUGUAAACUACAGGGGACAGACUAUAAUCAACAUAGAUUGAAACCAGGUGGAUGAGUCAGUUAGAAAAUGAUACAUAGGUCUAAAAAAUAGAAAACACAGAACAGGUUGAGGAGGUCUGGGAGAGUGGGGAGUGACCAAGACAAGCUUCACUGAGCUGGUGACAUUUAAGCAACCACCAGAAGGAGUUGAAGGAGAACCGAGCAGUUUCCAGGCAAAGGAAUAACCAGUGCAAAGGGCCUGAGGGGAGAGCCCGCACAGCUUGCUUGAGGAGCAGUGACAAGGCCGAUUUGGCUGGAACAAAAUGAGUAAGAGGACAUCUUGGCUCCUACCACAAUAUGGAUAUUGUAGACAUUGCUGCUUUGAACAUCGGGGUGCAGAUGUCCCAGCAUUUCACUACUUCUGUAUCUUUGGGGCAUCCUACCAUCCAGGGAAGUCAAUUUCAUCAGCCUGAUGGGAAAACACCGCGUCCUUUUGAAAUGGAAUCGUCCUCUCUGAAACCAAAGUUCCACAGAAGCAAAUUAUCAGCUGUGCUGGUGCUGCUGCUGGAUUAAAGAUGAGGAUCCUAUCUUGUGUUUCUGCCACCCCCUCAUCAUUUCUAAGCCACUGACACACAGAGGCGGCCUGAUUUGCUUCUCAUCUGAGUCUCUUCAAGGGUGGGAGAGUAAUGGCCGGGAACAUAAAGUGCACACAGCCUCUGCACUUCUGUAAAAGGAGCAUCCAGCCCAGGGCCUGGAAUAAAUUUUGUUCUGUGGAAAUCA